Molecule: small nucleolar RNA, 67 nt
Organism: Cyprinodon tularosa
Lineage: Eukaryota; Metazoa; Chordata; Actinopteri; Cyprinodontiformes; Cyprinodontidae
Source: RefSeq, a predicted model, not a curated record
AACAUACUGAUGAAUUCCAAUUACCGCCCCAGUCUGAAGAACAGUGAUUGGUUUAUUCUGAUAUGUU